RNAcentral lists this ribosomal RNA (238 nucleotides) under uncultured bacterium. RNAcentral describes it as "partial 16S ribosomal RNA". It matches the Rfam family "Bacterial small subunit ribosomal RNA", at positions 15 to 245 of the family's 1533-position model. The record is from RNAcentral.
GAUCAUGGCUCAGGAUGAACGCUAGCUACAGGCUUAACACAUGCAAGUCGAGGGGCAGCAUGAACUUAGCUUGCUAAGUUUGAUGGCGACCGGCGCACGGGUGAGUAACACGUAUCCAACCUGCCGAUGACUCGGGGAUAGCCUUUCGAAAGAAAGAUUAAUACCCGAUGGCAUAGUUCUUCCGCAUGGUAGAACUAUUAAAGAAUUUCGGUCAUCGAUGGGGAUGCGUUCCAUUGGG